GACGAACGCUGGCGGCGUGCUUAACACAUGCGAGUCGAACGGAAAGGCCUGCUUUCCCUUGUGGAUUGCGGGUACUCGAGUGGCGAACGGGUGAGUAACACGUGAGUGAUCUGCCCCCAACUUGGGUAUAAGCCUGGGAAACUGGGUCUAAUUCCCGAUAGGACUGCAGGGUGGUGCCUGUGGUGGAAAACGAUUUUCUAGUGGUUGGGGAUGAGCUCGCGGCCUAUCAGCUUGUUGGUGGGGUAAUGGCCUACCAAGGCGGCGACGGGUAGCCGGCCUGGGAGGGUGGACGGCCACAUUGGGACUGGGAUACGGCCCAGACUCCUACGGGAGGCAGCAGUGGGGAAUAUUGCACAAUGGGCGGAAGCCUGAUGCAGCGACGCCGCGUGGGGGAUGACGGCCUUCGGGUUGUAAACUCCUUUCGACCGCGAGGAAGCCACCUGGUUGGAAGGGUGGUGACGGUAGUGGUAGAAGAAGCACCGGCUAACUACGUG
RNAcentral lists this ribosomal RNA (494 nucleotides) under uncultured bacterium. RNAcentral describes it as "partial 16S ribosomal RNA". It matches the Rfam family "Bacterial small subunit ribosomal RNA", at positions 28 to 507 of the family's 1533-position model. The record is from RNAcentral.